RNAcentral lists this unclassified non-coding RNA (374 nucleotides) under soil metagenome. RNAcentral's name for it is "partial contains 5.8S ribosomal RNA, internal transcribed spacer 2, and large subunit ribosomal RNA". The stretch from base 1 to 120 matches the Rfam family "5.8S ribosomal RNA", at positions 35 to 154 of the family's 154-position model. The record is from RNAcentral.
GAUGAAGAACGCAGCGAAAUGCGAUAAGUAAUGUGAAUUGCAGAAUUCAGUGAAUCAUCGAAUCUUUGAACGCACAUUGCGCCCGCCAGUAUUCUGGCGGGCAUGCCUGUUCGAGCGUCAUUUCAACCCUCAAGACCCCUUCGGGGGACUUGGUGUUGGGGACCGGCACAGGGGCCUGCCUGCUUGUCUUGCAGCGCCCUCGCGGCCCCCGAAAUGAAUUGGCGGCCUCGUCGCGGCCUCCCCUGCGUAGUAGCACAACCUCGCAACGGGAACGUGACGGCGGCCACUGCCGUAAAACAACCCAAUUUUAUUAGAGUUGACCUCGAAUCAGGUAGGAAUACCCGCUGAACUUAAGCAUAUCAAUAAGCGGAGGA